GCCAGCAUGGCAUAGUGGUUUGAGUAUUGGACUAGGACUCUGGAGACCAGAGUUCAAAUCCCAGUUCAGCCA
RNAcentral lists this transfer RNA (72 nucleotides) under Phrynosoma platyrhinos (Desert horned lizard). RNAcentral describes it as "tRNA-OTHER". Lineage: Eukaryota; Metazoa; Chordata; Lepidosauria; Squamata; Phrynosomatidae. The record is from RNAcentral.